UUAAAUCAGUUAUCGUCUAUUUGAUAGUACCUUACUACUCGGAUAACCGUGGUAAUUCUAGAGCUAAUACGUGCUGAAAACCCCGACUUCGGAAGGGGUGUAUUUAUUAGAUUAAAAGCCAAUGCCCCCCGGGGCCCCUUGGUGAUUCAUGAUAACUCCUCGAAUCGCACGGCCUUGCGCCGGCGAUGGUUCAUUCAAAUUUCUGCCCUAUCAACUUUCGACGGCUGGGUCUUGGCCAGCCGUGGUGACAACGGGUAACGGAGGGUUAGGGCUCGACCCCGGAGAAGGAGCCUGAGAAACGGCUACUACAUCCAAGGAAGGCAGCAGGCGCGCAAAUUACCCAAUCCCGACGCGGGGAGGUAGUGACAAUAAAUACUGAUACAGGGCUCUUUCGGGUCUUGUAAUUGGAAUGAGUACAAUUUAAUUCCCUUAACGAGGAACAAUUGGAGGGCAAGUCUGGUGCCAGCAGCCGCGGUAAUUCCAGCUCCAAUAGCGUAUAUUAAAGUUGUUGCAGUUAAAAAGCUCGUAGUUGAACCUUGGGCCUGGCUGGCCGGUCCGCCUCACCGCGUGCACUGGUCCGGCCGGGCCUUUCCCUCUGGGGAACCGCAUGCCCUUCGCUGGGCGUGCCGGGGAACCAGGACGUUUACUUUGAAAAAAUUAGAGUGUUCAAAGCAGGCUUAUGCUCGGAUACAUUAGCAUGGAAUAAUGGAAUAGGACGUGCGGUUCUAUUUUGUUGGUUUCUAGGACCGCCGUAAUGAUUAAUAGGGACAGUCGGGGGCAUCCGUAUUCAGUUGUCAGAGGUGAAAUUCUUGGAUCUACUGAAGACGAACUACUGCGAAAGCAUUUGCCAAGGAUGUUUUCAUUAAUCAGGAACGAAAGUUAGGGGAUCGAAGACGAUCAGAUACCGUCGUAGUCUUAACCAUAAACUAUGCCGACUAGGGAUCGGACGGUGUUGCUUUUUGACCCGUUCGGCACCUUGCACGAAAGUACAA
Molecule: ribosomal RNA, 992 nt
Filed under: Raffaelea arxii
Lineage: Eukaryota; Fungi; Ascomycota; Sordariomycetes; Ophiostomatales; Ophiostomataceae
Description: SSU rRNA
Rfam family: Eukaryotic small subunit ribosomal RNA
Source: RNAcentral